ACAUGAGGCAGCUAUAAUGCAGUCGUACGAACUCAACGUAUUGAUUGGUGCUUGCAUCAUGAUUUACAUUUGAGUGAGUGGCGAACUGGUGAGUAACACGUGGGAAACCUGCCCAGAAGCGGGGGAUAACACCUGGAAACAGAUGCUAAUACCGCAUAACAACUUGGACCGCAUGGUCCGAGCUUGAAAGAUGGCUUCGGCUAUCACUUUUGGAUGGUCCCGCGGCGUAUUAGCUAGAUGGUGGGGUAACGGCUCACCAUGGCAAUGAUACGUAGCCGACCUGAGAGGGUAAUCGGCCACAUUGGGACUGAGACACGGCCCAAACUCCUACGGGAGGCAGCAGUAGGGAAUCUUCCACAAUGGACGAAAGUCUGAUGGAGCAACGCCGCGUGAGUGAAGAAGGGUUUCGGCUCGUAAAACUCUGUUGUUAAAGAAGAACAUAUCUGAGAGUAACUGUUCAGGUAUUGACGGUAUUUAACCAGAAAGCCACGGCUAACUACGUGCCAGCAGCCGCGGUAAUACGUAGGUGGCAAGCGUUGUCCGGAUUUAUUGGGCGUAAAGCGAGCGCAGGCGGUUUUUUAAGUCUGAUGUGAAAGCCUUCGGCUCAACCGAAGAAGUGCAUCGGAAACUGGGAAACUUGAGUGCAGAAGAGGACAGUGGAACUCCAUGUGUAGCGGUGAAAUGCGUAGAUAUAUGGAAGAACACCAGUGGCGAAGGCGGCUGUCUGGUCUGUAACUGACGCUGAGGCUCGAAAGUAUGGGUAGCAAACAGGAUUAGAUACCCUGGUAGUCCAUACCGUAAACGAUGAAUGCUAAGUGUUGGAGGGUUUCCGCCCUUCAGUGCUGCAGCUAACGCAUUAAGCAUUCCGCCUGGGGAGUACGGCCGCAAGGCUGAACUCAAGGAAUUGACGGGGCCCGCACAAGCGGUGGAGCAUGUGGUUUAAUUCGAAGCUACGCGAGGACCUUACCAGGUCUUGA
Molecule: ribosomal RNA, 977 nt
Filed under: Lactiplantibacillus plantarum
Lineage: Bacteria; Bacillati; Bacillota; Bacilli; Lactobacillales; Lactobacillaceae
Description: bacterial SSU rRNA
Rfam family: Bacterial small subunit ribosomal RNA
Source: RNAcentral